RNAcentral lists this ribosomal RNA (884 nucleotides) under uncultured beta proteobacterium. RNAcentral describes it as "bacterial SSU rRNA". It matches the Rfam family "Bacterial small subunit ribosomal RNA", at positions 35 to 916 of the family's 1533-position model. The record is from RNAcentral. Lineage: Bacteria; Pseudomonadati; Pseudomonadota; Betaproteobacteria.
GCCAUGGCCGGCAUGCCUUACCAUGCAGUCGAACGCGAAAGGGGGCAACCCCGAGUAGAGUGGCGAACGGGUGAGUAACGCAUCGGAACGUGCCCUGGAGUGGGGGAUAACCUAGCGAAAGUUAGGCUAAUACCGCAUACGCUCUCAGGAGGAAAGUGGGGGACCGCAAGGCCUCACGCUCAAGGAGCGGCCGAUGUCCGAUUAGCUAGUUGGUGGGGUAACGGCCUACCAAGGCGACGAUCGGUAGCUGGUCUGAGAGGACGACCAGCCACACUGGGACUGAGACACGGCCCAGACUCCUACGGGAGGCAGCAGUGGGGAAUUUUGGACAAUGGGGGAAACCCUGAUCCAGCCAUGCCGCGUGGGUGAAGAAGGCCUUCGGGUUGUAAAGCCCUUUCGGCCGGGACGAAAUCGCACGGGUGAAUAUCCCGUGUGGAUGACGGUACCGGAAGAAGAAGCACCGGCUAACUACGUGCCAGCAGCCGCGGUAAUACGUAGGGUGCGAGCGUUAAUCGGAAUUACUGGGCGUAAAGCGUGCGCAGGCGGCCUUUUAAGCCAGAUGUGAAAUCCCCGGGCUUAACCUGGGAACUGCGUUUGGAACUGGGAGGCUAGAGUGUGGAAGAGGGGGGUGGAAUUCCCGGUGUAGCAGUGAAAUGCGUAGAUAUCGGGAGGAACACCAAUGGCGAAGGCAGCCCCCUGGGCUAACACUGACGCUCAUGCACGAAAGCGUGGGGGGCAAACAGGAUUAGAUACCCUGGUAGUCCACGCCCUAAACGAUGUCAACUGGUUGUUGGGGGAGUCAAUCCCUUAGUAACGAAGCUAACGCGUGAAGUUGACCGCCUGGGGAGUACGGCCGCAAGGUUAAAACUCAAAGGAAUUGACGG